This 853-nucleotide long non-coding RNA is filed under the name Homo sapiens (human). RNAcentral describes it as "long intergenic non-protein coding RNA 1320". The record is from RNAcentral. Lineage: Eukaryota; Metazoa; Chordata; Mammalia; Primates; Hominidae.
ACGUAGCAGGCCCCUGUGGAGGAUUAACACAGUGGCUGAACACCGGGAAGGAACUGGCACUUGGAGUCCGGACAUCUGAAACUUGAAUUGACAAGCCGACAUCAGUCUCCAGAGUGAAUCCAAGGAGUGGACCCAAGACAUUUGUGUUCUGUGAUGUGGUGGCAUGUUACCUGUCAUCUCCGAUGCAUAACUCCUAAAGUGCGUCUGGGGCAGUUGUACAGAUUGCAGAGGAUAAUACUCAAGAUGUUCUCCAAGGCCAACUAGUCAUCAGUUUAUUCAUGUUUCUGGGAUUGGAUUCAUGAACUCAUCCUUUGAACUAUUUCAACAAGCUUUUUCAUGUAACUAAUCUGCGGAAGGUAGAAAGGGGAAAACUGUUGGGUGCUAAAAUGACAACUGGUUCAAGGGAAACAAACAAGGAGGAGCACGCCUGGGGAGGUUUUCACAGGCCAGGACUGGAAAUGCACAUUUCUCUUUUCCUCACAUUCCAAGCUCCCAAGAUGGUGGUGGGCCACUUCCAAGAUGGUGGCAAGAGUCGUAUUCUCUGACCUGGGGUUCUUGGUCUCAUGGAUUCCAAGGAAUGGAAUCUUGCGCCAUGUGGAGAAGCGUCAGAUAAUUAGGCAGCAGUCCAACAAUUAGGUUUUGUGGAACUUUUACUAUGUCAUCUAUUUAUUGGAAUUCCCCCUGGAUACCAGGACCCCCUCCAGCAGAGCUUAAAGUUAUAGUUACAGGAAGUACAAAUUCCUUAUGUGGAUCCCUGGAAGUGUGAUGAGAAGAACCACUGUUUCCAAGAUCUAUUUAUUCUAUUUAUCAGGCCUAUAAAAUCAUGUAAUGGCCAUGGCUUCAACUAGACUCC